RNAcentral lists this ribosomal RNA (292 nucleotides) under uncultured bacterium. RNAcentral's name for it is "partial 16S ribosomal RNA". RNAcentral also lists the same sequence under 1 other name. The record is from RNAcentral.
GGACUACUCGGGUAUCUAAUCCCGUUUGCUCCCCUAGCCUUCGUGCCUCAGCGUCAGGACUUGCCCAGAGAUCCGCUUUCGCAACUGGUCUUCCUCACGAUAUCUACGCAUUUCACUGCUACACCGUGAAUUCCGAUCUCCUCUACAAUCCUCUAGUAUGGUAGUUUCGAAUGCAGUUUCGAGGUUAAGCCCCGAGAUUUCACAUUCGACUUACCACACCGCCUACGCACCCUUUACGCCCAAUGAAUCCGAACAACGCUUGAGACCUCUGUAUUACCGCGGCUGCUGGCAC